ACGGGUUUCCAAUACAAGCAUCGGGGCCAACCCAGCCUGGUAAAGUUCUUCCCAUUCUGGUACAUGUAGUGGAAUGUUGCACAGCAAUCUGUCCAGCUCUUUGUAUACGGUCAUAAAAGAUAGCUUGGAUGCCCACGUAUGCGCUGCAAGCACCUCCGCUUGGGCAAGCUCUUCGUCGUCUGGUACGUGCACUGCAAUAUAGCAGAUGAGAACCAACGCAUGUAAAACUUUCUUGUCAUACAAAAUCUGGAUUAAGUGUUUAACACCUCCAGCACUUAUUAUUGCCUUGGAAUGUUCAAUGUGAAAAUAGUUAUCUGUCCGAGCUAAUUUUGUGAGGGCAAUGCAAGCCCCCUCGGUAACAUAAUAUUCUCUUCCAUGCAGAAGCUGCACCAGUGGGCCAAUCAUUCUUGUCUCUAUUGACCCAAAUGUCCUU
This 433-nucleotide long non-coding RNA is filed under the name Prunus persica (peach). RNAcentral's name for it is "long non-coding RNA (PPER_LNC007458)". The record is from RNAcentral. Lineage: Eukaryota; Viridiplantae; Streptophyta; Magnoliopsida; Rosales; Rosaceae.